Molecule: small nucleolar RNA, 133 nt
Organism: Engraulis encrasicolus (European anchovy)
Lineage: Eukaryota; Metazoa; Chordata; Actinopteri; Clupeiformes; Engraulidae
Product: small nucleolar RNA SNORA31
Exons: 1
Source: RefSeq, a predicted model, not a curated record
CAGCAUCAGCUGAUAGACCUGAGGCCUGUCUUUGUGGCUUCUUGGUUUGCAAACUGGUGCAAUAGCGACAGUUCUCCCGCUUCCCGCCAGCCCCAGACCGUGGCAGGUCGGAUAGUACCAGAGGACAACAUCG